This 301-nucleotide ribosomal RNA is filed under the name uncultured bacterium. Its description in RNAcentral is "partial 16S ribosomal RNA". It matches the Rfam family "Bacterial small subunit ribosomal RNA", at positions 509 to 807 of the family's 1533-position model. The record is from RNAcentral.
CAGUAGCCGCGGGAACACGAAGGGUGCAAGCGUUAAUCGGAAUUACUGGGCGUAAAGCGCGCGUAGGUGGUUUGGUAAGAUGGAUGUGAAAUCCCCGGGCUCAACCUGGGAACUGCAUCCAUAACUGCCUGACUAGAGUACGGUAGAGGGUGGUGGAAUUUCCUGUGUAGCGGUGAAAUGCGUAGAUAUAGGAAGGAACACCAGUGGCGAAGGCGACCACCUGGACUGAUACUGACACUGAGGUGCGAAAGCGUGGGGAGCAAACAGGAUUAGAUACCCGCGUAGUCCCUGUCUCUUAUAC